UUGAAUCCUUAGGAUGUUGCUGGCCUUUGCAAAAAGGCAUGUGCACUCCGCCUAUUCAAACCCCAUGUGAACUUAUUGUAGGCUUCAGAUUUAAACAAGUCUGUUGUCUAUGUUUUUAUCACACACUCUUUGUAUAUUGAAUGUCUAAUGUUGGCAAAAAUAUAUAAUA
Molecule: unclassified non-coding RNA, 169 nt
Filed under: uncultured Clavariaceae
Lineage: Eukaryota; Fungi; Basidiomycota; Agaricomycetes; Agaricales; Clavariaceae
Description: sequence contains ITS1
Source: RNAcentral